Molecule: ribosomal RNA, 252 nt
Filed under: uncultured bacterium
Lineage: Bacteria
Description: partial 16S ribosomal RNA
Rfam family: Bacterial small subunit ribosomal RNA
Source: RNAcentral
UACGUAAGUGGCAGGCGUUAUCCGGAUUUACUGGGCAUAAAGCGCGCGCAGGUGGCUUUUUAAGUCAGAUGUUAAAACCUAUAGCUCAACUAUAGUCCGCAUUUGAUACUGAAGAGCUAGAGAUCAGGAGAGGAAAGCGGAACUCAUGGUGUAGCGGUGAAAUGCGUAGAUAUCAUGAGGAACACCAGUGGCGAAGGCGGCUUUCUGGACUGAUUCUGACACUGAGGCGCGAAAGCGUGGGGAGCAAACGGG